Molecule: ribosomal RNA, 407 nt
Filed under: uncultured bacterium
Lineage: Bacteria
Description: partial 16S ribosomal RNA
Rfam family: Bacterial small subunit ribosomal RNA
Source: RNAcentral
AUUGAACGCUGGCGGCAGGCCUAACACAUGCAAGUCGAGCGGAUCGCCGGACGGGUGCGUAAUGCCUAGGAAUCUGCCUGUUAGUGGGGGAUAACGUUCGGUAACGGGCGCUAAUACUGCAUCCUAUCAGCUGAGCCUAGGUCGGAUUAGCUAGUGGGUGGGGUAAGGGCCUACCAAGGCGACGAUCCGUAACUGGUCUGAGAGGAUGAUCAGUCACACUGGGACUGAGACACGGCCCAGACUCCUACGGGAGGCAGCAGUGGGGAAUAUUCGGCAAUGGACGAAAGUCUGACCCAGCAACGCCGCGUGAGUGAAGAAGGCUUUCGGAUCGUAAAGCACUGUUGUUAGGGAAGCGGUAUCUAAAGAGGAAGCAACGGCUAACUUCGUGCCAGCAGCCGCGGUAAUAC